Non-coding RNA from Anolis sagrei ordinatus, 1321 nucleotides. NCBI's taxonomy places the organism in Eukaryota, Metazoa, Chordata, Lepidosauria, Squamata, Anolidae. The record is from RefSeq and is a predicted model, not a curated record.
AAUCCAGGGCUCCUGGUUUGCAGAUAGAAAACCAAAACCAGGGCAUCUGGUUUGCAGAUAGAAAUUAAAUCCAGGGUUUCUUGUUUGCAGACAGAACCCAUGCUAAUGAUUCUAAUUUGCAAACAGAAAUCAAAUCCAUUGUUUCUGGUUUGCAGAUAGAAAUUAAAUCCAGGGCUUCUGGUUCACAGAUAGAACCCAAUCCAAUUAUUCUGAUUUGCAGAUAGAGACCAAUUCAGGGCUUCUAGUUCGAAGGUAGAAACCAAAUCCAGGGCUUCUGGUUUGCAGAUACAAAACUAAAACCAAGGCAUCUGGUUUGCAGAUAGAAAUUAAACCCAGGGCAUCUGGUUUGCAGAUAGAAACCAAUUCAGGACUUCUAGUUUGAAAGUAGAAACCAAACCCAGGGUUUCUGGUUUGCAGAUAAAAACCAAAACCAAGGCAUCUGGUAUGCAAAUAAAAUCCAAUCUAAUGAUUCUGGUUUGCAGAUAGAAACUAAUCUAGGGCUUCUAGUUUGGAGGUAGAAACCAAAUCCAGGACUCCUGGUUUGCAGCUAAAAUCAAAUCCAGGGCUUCUGGUUUGCAAGGUUGAAACUAAACCCAGUGCUCCUGGUUUGCAGAUAGAAACCAAAUAAAAUGCCUCUGGUUUCCAGAUAGAAGCCAAGUCCAGGACUUCAGGUUUGCAGGUCAGAACCUAUCCAGGUACUUUGCAGAUAGAAACCAAAUCCAGAGCUUCUGCUUUGAAGUUAGUCACCCAAUCCAGGGCAUCUGGUUUGCAAGGUAGAACUCCAAUCCAAGGGGUCUGGUUUGCAGAUGGAAACUAGACUAGGGCUUCUAGUCUGCAAGUCAAAAUCAAAUUCAGGACAUGCAAGGUAGAAACCACAUCCAGGGCAUGUGGUUUGCAGAUCAAAACCAAAUCCAGGGCUUCAGGUUUGCAGACAAAAGGAGGCCCUCAAUGGCCAGAGAUACGAAGACCGCAUUCUCAAUCAUUGUAUUCUCUCUCUGGGUUGAAUCCUCUCUGGGCAGGGAAGACUCUUUGGUGAAGAACCAACCGAGGGGUGUCUUUGGAAGGACUUUACUUUGUAUUUCAGCUUUGCUUGUCUAGACCAGUCUCGUCCAUCGGUGGUCUGUAGGCAAAGGAGAAGCAACCCAAAGUCUUGCAAACAGGGUAUCCAGUCGCCCUCAUUCUCACGUCAUUCCACCGAAUUCGGGGCCCCCAUAUGAUGCAACCUGGGGGCGUUCCACGUUUGUCGCCUCUGGUGCUCACCAGCAAUGGGCAGAAUUCCCCAUCUAUCCUUUCUACAAAUAAUACAGGUUUCCUAAGUUAA